UGAGGAAUAUUGGUCAAUGGGCGGGAGCCUGAACCAGCCAAGUCGCGUGAGGGAAGACGGUCCUACGGAUUGUAAACCUCUUUUGCCGGGGAGCAACGGAGUCCUUGCGAGGGCCCGAUGAGAGUACCCGGAGAAAAAGCAUCGGCUAACUCCGUGCC
This 158-nucleotide ribosomal RNA is filed under the name uncultured bacterium. Its description in RNAcentral is "partial 16S ribosomal RNA". It matches the Rfam family "Bacterial small subunit ribosomal RNA", at positions 355 to 509 of the family's 1533-position model. The record is from RNAcentral.